GUCAUGGAGGAGUCAUCUUCAGAGUCCCCGUGAUGGCAGCAACACGAGGGCAGCACGCCCGCCCAGGCUGAAUCGGCCCCUGCCGUCUAGGAAAGGGAGAACGGCUGCCGGCGCCGCGGGGCUGUUUCUGCGCACGCGCACUAUGCUGGCCCCGCUUCCUGGUCGCCACACCGCCCUCUGGUUCGCACACAGCACCGGAGAAACCGGAGAAACCGGAGAAACCGGGAACGGCACAUGGGGCACCUCCGUGCUAUUUUUGCAACUUACUGUGAGUCUACAAUCAUUGCAAAAUAAAAUGUUUUAAAAAAGCUCAACAGAAGCCAUGAACAGCAUAUUGGAUAUAACAGAUAGCUAAACUAAUGACUCUAGAAAUUCUCUGAGCACCCAGAAGAAAAGAUAAAGAGGCGAAAAUAAUAAAUAACAAGACAAGAAAAAGGCAAGAACGCAAAAUAUCUGUUGGGUAUUCCUGGAGAUUCCAGAAGGCAAGCGUGAGCAGAGAAGUAAUGAUGGAAGAAAUAAGAGAUGAAAAGUGAUCAAAUAUAGAAAUUAUAUAAGCCAUGUUGUGAUAAUAAUGCAAUAAAACUAAAAUUCAAUAGUACAAGGAAAAACAGGGAAAAAUAAAACCUAUUUCAAACUAAAAGA
RNAcentral lists this long non-coding RNA (642 nucleotides) under Homo sapiens (human). Its description in RNAcentral is "HSALNT0115650". The record is from RNAcentral. Lineage: Eukaryota; Metazoa; Chordata; Mammalia; Primates; Hominidae.